RNAcentral lists this unclassified non-coding RNA (149 nucleotides) under soil metagenome. RNAcentral's name for it is "partial internal transcribed spacer 1". The record is from RNAcentral.
CCGAGUUUACAACUCCCAAACCCCUGUGAACAUACCUUUAUGUUGCCUCGGCGGAUCAGCCCGCGCCCCGUAAAACGGGACGGCCCGCCGCAGGAAACCCUAAACUCUGUUUUUAGUGGAACUCCUGAGUAUAAAAAACAAAUAAAUCA